This 72-nucleotide transfer RNA is filed under the name Capra hircus (goat). It matches the Rfam family "tRNA". Rfam says of the family: Transfer RNA (tRNA) molecules are approximately 80 nucleotides in length. Their secondary structure includes four short double-helical elements and three loops (D, anti-codon, and T loops). Further hydrogen bonds mediate the characteristic L-shaped molecular structure. tRNAs have two regions of fundamental functional importance: the anti-codon, which is responsible for specific mRNA codon recognition, and the 3' end, to which the tRNAs corresponding amino acid is attached (by aminoacyl-tRNA synthetases). tRNAs cope with the degeneracy of the genetic code in two manners: having more than one tRNA (with a specific anti-codon) for a particular amino acid; and 'wobble' base-pairing, i.e. permitting non-standard base-pairing at the 3rd anti-codon position. The record is from Rfam by way of RNAcentral. RNAcentral also lists the same sequence under 1 other name. Lineage: Eukaryota; Metazoa; Chordata; Mammalia; Artiodactyla; Bovidae.
UCCCUGGUAGCUCAGAGGUUAAAGCAUCUGCCUGCAAUGCGGGAGACCUGGGUUCGAUUCCUGGGUCGGGAA